ACUCCUACGGGAGGCAGCAGUGGGGAAUAUUGCACAAUGGGCGCAAGCCUGAUGCAGCCAUGCCGCGUGUGUGAAGAAGGCCUUCGGGUUGUAAAGCACUUUCAGUCGUGAGGAAGGUAGUGUAGUUAAUAGCUGCAUUAUUUGUACGUUAGCGACAGAAGAAGCACCGGCUAACUCCGUGCCAGCAGCCGCGGUAAUACGGAGGGUGCGAGCGUUAAUCGGAAUUACUGGGCGUAAAGCGCAUGCAGGUGGUUUGUUAAGUCAGAUGUGAAAGCCCGGGGCUCAACCUCGGAAUAGCAUUUGAAACUGGCAGACUAGAGUACUGUAGAGGGGGUAGAAUUUCAGGUGUAGCGGUGAAAUGCGUAGAGAUCUGAAGGAAUACCGGUGGCGAAGGCGGCCCCUGGACAGAUACUGACACUCAGAUGCGAAAGCGU
RNAcentral lists this ribosomal RNA (434 nucleotides) under uncultured bacterium. RNAcentral describes it as "bacterial SSU rRNA". It matches the Rfam family "Bacterial small subunit ribosomal RNA", at positions 335 to 762 of the family's 1533-position model. The record is from RNAcentral.